Molecule: ribosomal RNA, 404 nt
Filed under: uncultured bacterium
Lineage: Bacteria
Description: bacterial SSU rRNA
Rfam family: Bacterial small subunit ribosomal RNA
Source: RNAcentral
GGCGGACGGGUGAGUAAUAUGUAGAGAAGUCUGCCCUUGAGUGGGGGACAACAGAGGGAAACGUUCUGCUAAUACCCCAUAUGAGCUAACUUGAAAUAGUUAUCUUGAAAACUCCGGUGCUCAAGGAUGAGUCUGCAUCUGAUUAGCUAGUUGGCGGUGUAAUGGACCACCAAGGCGACGAUCAGUAGCUGGUUUGAGAGGAUGAUCAGCCACAAUGGGACUGAGACACGGCCCAUACUCCUACGGGAGGCAGCAGUAGGGAAUUUUGCGCAAUGGGCGAAAGCCUUGACGCAGCAACGCCGCGUGAACGAUUAAGCCCUUCGGGGUGUAAAGUUCUGUCAGUAGGGACGAAUUUUGACGGUACCUACAGAGGAAGCACCGGCUAACUCCGUGCCAGCAGCAGC